UUCCGAAAGGGAUGCUAAUACCGAAUGUGCUCACACCUCCGCAUGGAGGUGUGAGGAAAGAUGGCCUCUACUUGUAAGCUAUCGCCAGAAGAUGGGCCUGCGUCUGAUUAGCUAGUAGGUGGGGUAACGGCUCACCUAGGCGAUGAUCAGUAGCCGGUCUGAGAGGAUGAACGGCCACAUUGGGACUGAGACACGGCCCAAACUCCUACGGGAGGCAGCAGUGGGGAAUCUUCCGCAAUGGACGAAAGUCUGACGGAGCAACGCCGCGUGAGUGAUGAAGGUCUUCGGAUUGUAAAACUCUGUUGUCAGGGACGAAUGUACUGAUUUACAAUACACUUCGGUAUUGACGGUACCUGACGAGGAAGCCACGGCUAACUACGUGCCAGCAGCCGCGGUAAUACGUAGGUGGCAAGCGUUGUCCGGAAUUAUUGGGCGUAAAGAGCAUGUAGGCGGGCUUUUAAGUCCGACGUGAAAAUGCGGGGCUUAACCCCGUAUGGCGUUGGAUACUGGGAGUCUUGAGUGCAGGAGAGGAAAGGGGAAUUCCCAGUGUAGCGGUGAAAUGCGUAGAUAUUGGGAGGAACACCAGUGGCGAAGGCGCCUUUCUGGACUGUGUCUGACGCUGAGAUGCGAAAGCCAGGGUAGCAAACGGGAUUAGAUACCCCGGUAGUCCUGGCCGUAAACGAUGGGUACUAGGUGUAGGAGGUAUCGACCCCUUCUGUGCCGGAGUUAACGCAAUAAGUACCCCGCCUGGGGAC
Molecule: ribosomal RNA, 755 nt
Filed under: uncultured bacterium
Lineage: Bacteria
Description: bacterial SSU rRNA
Rfam family: Bacterial small subunit ribosomal RNA
Source: RNAcentral